AAUCGAUAAGUUGCUCUGGCCCAGUUAAUCUCGUUCUCACUGUAAAGAAUAUAUACAUAUAAAGCUAAAUACGGCAAUGGAUAUGAAAAAUAAUUAGGAAUAUCAGUCCUCAUUAAGCCACUCACCUGAGCGUCUUAAGCCACUGAGGAUCCUGCAUAACUUCUUUAUUCCAGGAUAAAAAUUCUGAUAUGGCAGUUUUACG
RNAcentral lists this long non-coding RNA (202 nucleotides) under Capsella rubella. RNAcentral describes it as "long non-coding RNA (CRUB_LNC000012)". Lineage: Eukaryota; Viridiplantae; Streptophyta; Magnoliopsida; Brassicales; Brassicaceae. The record is from RNAcentral.